Long non-coding RNA from Tigriopus californicus, 847 nucleotides. RefSeq lists it as uncharacterized. Lineage: Eukaryota; Metazoa; Arthropoda; Copepoda; Harpacticoida; Harpacticidae. The record is from RefSeq and is a predicted model, not a curated record. The transcript has 4 exons.
CUUAUUAGUUAGCGUAUUGCCUGAAGUGACUAUUCAGUACAGAUUCACAAGUCGACCCGCUAGCUACCAUCCCAUUGAAGCUGUUCAACAUCUCUCAGGUUCUAAAACCCAAUUUUGAAUAAUUCCAAGCCAACAUUAUGAUUGUAGCAACAUGCCUCAUGGUCUCAUUGGUGUUUUUUAUUCAUGGACAAAUGGUCAAUUCCUACGCCAUCUUCCCGCACAUGGGCACCUACAGACUCGACCGAGGCAAUCAACAUUUAGAAAUGGACGACGAGUCUUCUGGAACGAUGCCAGAAUGCAACGGAGAAAUGAGUCAAGACUUCAACACUGAAAUUUCGAAUCUCAGUGGAUGCUUUAAUUUCCAACCCCUGUUUUAACGAUGGAGGAUAUCCGAACUACACAGGAAGUGAAAGUGACAUGUACAUAUGCUCCUACGUCUAUGAGUUUGGGGUUACAGUAAAUGGAACGGUGACUUUAAAAAAGCAGGGUUCGAGUUUCAAGCACGGACACCAGUGGGAAGUUGCCUGGAUGGUGUUGGAGCAAAUCCUGUGAUGAGAGACUUAAGUGACGAUGAAGAAAACGGUCCACGGGACGAUUUUGUCACAUUUUGCGGCGGAUUAGUGAGGACAAAACCCGGAGUUUCUCGUUCAAUUCACUCACUAUUUUAACUCGGCGCCGAUGCUACAGUGAACGGCAACGGAGCCGAGGUUGAAAUCUGCUUUGAUUAAAAGAGCUGCUGGGGUCAAACCUCAUUGAUGUUUGUACUGUGAAGUGUGAAGUGUCAUUUUUAUUGCUUUUUUUAUUAUUUGCCUACUUCAGAGUUUCGAAAAUAAAUUGUUUCGUUUGA